Molecule: transfer RNA, 77 nt
Filed under: bacterium
Lineage: Bacteria
Description: tRNA-Val
Rfam family: tRNA
About the family: Transfer RNA (tRNA) molecules are approximately 80 nucleotides in length. Their secondary structure includes four short double-helical elements and three loops (D, anti-codon, and T loops). Further hydrogen bonds mediate the characteristic L-shaped molecular structure. tRNAs have two regions of fundamental functional importance: the anti-codon, which is responsible for specific mRNA codon recognition, and the 3' end, to which the tRNAs corresponding amino acid is attached (by aminoacyl-tRNA synthetases). tRNAs cope with the degeneracy of the genetic code in two manners: having more than one tRNA (with a specific anti-codon) for a particular amino acid; and 'wobble' base-pairing, i.e. permitting non-standard base-pairing at the 3rd anti-codon position.
Source: RNAcentral
GCGCGUGUAGCUCAGCUGGUUAGAGUGUCGCCUCGACAUGGCGAAGGUCCUCGGUUCGAUCCCGAGCACGCGCACCA